GGCAGGCGGAUUCUUAACCACUGCACCACCAGGGAAGCCCUGGUGCCUCAUUUCUGAUGGGUGAUAAGGCAUCUCAGACUCAGGACUGCAGGACCUGCCGCUGCGAUCUGCUGGAGCCGAUAACCCAGCUGCAUCUUCUGGGCCGUGCCAUCUUCCUCCAGGGCAGUGAUGAUCUGAAACACAGAGACCAACUCAGCAGGGGGAGACCGUCAGCCUGCCGUCUGCCUUUGCCACAGACUUCAAUAGGCCUCCACAGCUACCGCAGCAGGUGUGGGUAGGGGCCCGAGAAACCCUGUGAGCUGCUGCACUCACUUCCUCAGGGCCCCCUCGGGGAGGGGAUGAUGACAGCAGAGUCACUGUGGGGUUUUAAGGAUUAGUGAGGUAGGGAAUGAAGUACUUUACUCAGUACCUAGCACUCACGGUAAUGCAUAUCACCUCCCCAGUAAAAUCGUUUUGAGUGGAGGCCAACUUCACCCACCAUGCUGGUCUUCUCUGCCACAAACCCCCUGGAAGCCCUGCUCCACCCAUCCUGGCUCCCCCGCCCACCAGGCAACAAGCAGUUCCUAAAUUCCUACAUGCCGGGUGCUGGACAAGGAGCAGGGACCCGGCAGUGAUGACAGGUACAAUCCCUGCCCUCGUGGGGCUCACUGGAGGGGAGACAGGUAUUGACCAAACACGGACAACUACAUAACCACAAGGGGGGCUGCCACAGAGGGAAGGGUGGGAACAGGAGGGGCUCGCCGGCCACGCCUCCACAAGGGGACAGCUGUGUCACACGGCCCCGCCUCCCCCACACCGACACCCACACUGUUUGGAGCAAGGCACCUGGACUUCACGCUUGUGCAUCACUCCUGUGUCAAAUGCCUGUCCCCACUCCAGGCCUGAGCCAUGAGGCAGGGCCCUCAUCGCUCAACAGCAACGGCCACAUCCCUGGGGCCACGCAAACAUCUGGGUAGAUGAUUCUAGCAGGCACUCAGUGGGUUGACCGGUGGGCGCUCUGAUCCUGAGGCCCAGCCCAGGAAUCCCCCAGAAAGCCCCCUUACCGGCUCUGUUGUGCCCGCAUCUGCCCCAGACCCUCCUCUCUGGCAGCGCAUGCAGCCCAGCCAGUCCCACCCGCCCAGAGAUGGCCUGCACAGCACACUGCCACAUGUGGUCUCAGGUAGGGCUCUGAGGGAGCACAAGGCCGGGGCACAGGUGGCCGCUGUGUGUACCUCCCAGCACAUCCUGCACACCAUCUCCAGGCCCUGGUAGAUCCCCAGCCAUCCAUCACCACCACCAUGCCCAGGAGCCCAGCUGAGGAGCCCGGAUGGGAAGGGCGGCAGCAGGUAAGAGCUGGGCCACUACCAGGAAGCACACCUGAAGAACACUUCCCGAACCCAGGGCUCAGCCCCCCUCCACCACUCUGUGCCUGGGGGAGACCCGAAGGCCCCACACUUGCGUCACAGAGCCAGUCACCCUCUCACUUCAUCCUGACCGUGCCCAGGUUCUGCCCACCUGGUCAUAGUAUUUGUUGAUAUACUUGUAGAGUUCGUGCAGGGCCACUCGCACCCCCAGGUCUCCAGAGUAGUUCUAGGGAGGAGAGACAAGAGGUUACAGAGAUAGGGGGUGCUGCCAGCCACCAGAGGAGGCCCAGGACCCCAGGCAAGGGGAGUGGGGAAGAGGGGGCUGGGAGGUAGAGGAAGGAACAGGGCCCUGCAUUGGGAAGCAGAGCCCCUCCACAGACAGGGGAUGCCAGGCUAGACGUGCUAAGCUGGGGACAGGAUAGGACCAAAGGGCCUCCUUGGUGGAGAGAGCCUGGAUCUGUAGUUUCACCAUGGCCUGGGGUCUCCACUGGGGCUCGGCCUCUCUCCCCCUCCAGGCUCCAGCUGGGACCCUCUGGCAUCCCAGGCAAUUGCAGAGCCAGGCAGAAUAGGUGCUGCUCACAGGCUGUGACCCAGCAUAGUUCUGCUGUGACCUCAUUCAAGUCUUUCCUGAGGUCACACCCAGGCCCCUCCAUGGGGACAUCUCUGAACCUCAACCUCCUCUUCAGGACAAUGGAGUUGAUAUCACCUAACUUGUAGAGCUUUUAUGGGAAUCAAAUGAGAAGUAAUCAAAGCCCCCACGCACAGCAACACCCCGAAACUGUAGCUACUGUUGUUAUUGUGGUUGUGGUCAUCAUCAUCGUGGUUUCGGAUUUACAUUGUUUAUAAAUUCCCCGGACUGGACUGUUUGGAGGCUGUUUUAGGAGUAGGUGGGGGCAUGUCUAUAGUGCCAAGGAAAGCAGAGCAGUAGGAAGACGUGGACAGGCUGACCCAGGCAGUGCUGGGGCUGAAUCCCUGCCACCUCACUGCCUUGGAACUAUGGUCCACAGACCCCGAGGGGCUGCAGACAUCUAAACACCUGGCUGAGUCAGGCUCGGUGGCAGCUGCCAGGACAAGGCCCCUGCUGCUCUCUGAUGAGACACUGGGAGCCCUGGUCUUUUACAGAGGCAGCGGGAACACUGUGCUGAGGCCCCCAGGGCUUCCCUGCAAAGGAGCAGUGUGAAGGGGGCAGGACCCUUGUGACAGAAGGCCUAUGCCCAACCCAAGAAGCAGAAGGAGGGCCAUACCCGGGACAGCUCGGCCAGGAUGGAGUUCAUCUCUUGAUCACUGGCGGGGAUGGUCUGUCUGAUGUCUGCAUAGUACCUGCCAGAGAUCAUGGGUCCGGCAGCCGCUGGGGAAACAAACCCCUCUUCACCCCACCAGGCCCACCCCUGGGCCUCAGCUGUAAACACCCACCAAUCCGUCCAGCCAUUAUCCCCCAGAUGCAAUCCCUUUCCCUCGUACCUUUCCACCAUCCGUUUGUACCGGGGAAUAUCCCGAGCAUACAGAAGUUUGUUGAUGGGAGAGUCCUGGGUGCCAGUAGGUGAACAGUGAAAGGAAAAGAAGGAUGAGAGCUCCUGUUAGGGUGACCAGCUGUCCCAAUUUUCCCAGCACUGCUUCAGUUUUAAAACUAAGUCCCGAAUUGCAGGAAACCUCCUCAGUCCCAGACAACCCGGAUGGUUGGUCACCCCACCUCAUUCCUUCUGUUACCCCUCCCCCAGUGUCCCAUCUCUGCUGUCAUCACCUUGAGCUUCCCCCCAUCUCACUCCAAGGUCAGCUCCACAUGCCUCCACCCGGACCUGGCAGGGAACUGGCAUGCAGGGUGGGAAGGGUGCAGUGCCGUGUGGAGCCCUAAUACUGCUUCUCCAAGUGCUGUUCAUUCCCCAUGUAAUGUAAUUUUAAAAAUCAGGAAACUAACCCCGAAAUUUAAUUAAAUUGCCCCAGACCACCUCACUCCUGUGUGGCUGAGCUGGGAUUUGAAGCAGGUCUCUCAGACCAGAGCCCACAAUCUAACACAGCCAGAUACAUCCUCUACCACCGAACUGGGCUCCAAUCCCAGCUCUGUCCCAGUGGCUGUGGGCAGCACACUUCCAUUCUCUGGACCUGCUGCCUCAUCCCACAGCUGCUGGGAGGGUGAGGCAAGACUGCACUGCCCCCUGCGAGCAAGGGCGUGAGCGCUGGGCCUGAGGCAGGAUGCCUGCUUCUCAGCAACUCUCCAUGGGUGGCCCUUGGCAUCCUGGUUUGCACUAUUCCUGAGCUACCCAGGAAGCAUUUGCAGCGCUGCUGGGAAGGGGAAGCAGUGUGAAGAUCAGGCAGAAGAACCCAGCUACCAUACAGCACACACCCUGGAGGUGACCCCUGGGUCCUGGUGUGGCUCUGUGGUUCUCAGCUCAUCGCAGGCAGAGUAAUGAGCACAGGCAGAGCAAAAAUGGCUUACAAAAGACAGCACUACAGAGUGAAACUUUCCAUCUUGUUUCCCCGUGGAGAACUCUCAAGAGGUCCCAGGCCCAGGGGUCGAGGCUAAGCAGAGUCCGUUAUGCAGAGCCACGACAGCCCUGCCUGCUGGGUGCCUGAGCAGUCAUGGUGGUGACCCCAUGUCUGUCACAGGACUCUCUGGGUCCUGACCACUGUGACAACAUACCUCCCCCUCUCUGUGCCACCAGGCAGCCCUGACCACCUCUCCUCCAUGCUUCCCAGCUCCCCUGUCAGCACAUCCCUCCUCGCCUGGCCCUCCCCUGGACUCUGCUCCCUGUACUGCACGGGCUGGCAGACACUUCCACUGCCCUUGGGAAUCAAAUCUCCGAGGCAGCCUGGAGCUGCUCUGCAAUUGUAGAAUCCAUGGGCUCACCUCCUCCAAGUCUUAGCUCACCACCGCCAGAGGCCCGGGGUGCGUAAGGAACCCCUCCCUCUUCCUCACCCCCACAUCCAACCCACAGCUUCUGCCUGCCCUGUACCCUCUAGUCCCAGCAUGAACCUGGCCACUGCUCAUCCCAGGGACAACACAGCUUCCUCUCUGGACUCCAGGCUCCAGUCCAUCCACUGCAUGAUUGCCAGGAGGCUCCACCUAACUCUCAGGUCUGACCACCCCCUUUGCCCUGAGGGUGAGCCCUUGCCAAGUGGCCCUGGCCUCCUGCCGCACCGCCAGCACUCUUUGCUCCACUUAACCCUGUGAAUCAGCACACGUGCCCCCUGCCCUUGCUCAUCCCUGAAGGCUGAGGCACGGCCACCUCCUAGGGAGGCCGGGGACAAAGCCUGGCCCCGGGCCUGCGGUCAAAGGCCUCCCAUGUCCUCCUCCUUGACAUCCUCAAGAAGGCCUGGAGUCUGUGCACCACAGCACUCUCCAUCCCCGGCCACGCUGCCCCCCCCACCUAGACCCUCCCGGUCCACCCCAGCCAGCUCACCCGGCCCAGCUUGUGGUCAGCCAGGGUGCAGGCAUCCAUGAAGGUCUGUGCAAUGACCAGGAACACUGCAUCCAUGUUAUCAGAUGUCUGCACGUCGAACACAAACUGCGGGUUUUUUAUGAUAUUGAUCCAGAACCUCAGCGGCAAGCUGUGGGCGGGGCAGGUGUGGCCAGUGAGUGUGCUGGGGAGACAGGAGAGAAGACCCCGCACAUGCUAGGCCCGCCCCGCCCCCACCUGUUGGUCUUCCAUAUAUGGACGGUGUCCUGGUCCGAGAUGCCAUGCUGCUGGGCCUGCUCGUCCAGCAGGUCAAAGAAGUACUUCACAGCGAGCGGCACGGGACGGCUGGUGCUGAGAAUCACCUGGAACAGGUCAUCCACAAACUUCUGCAGGGUGCCCUGCGGACGAGGGGAAGCACAGGAGAUGCAGUCAGCAAGGGGACCUCAGCCCAGCCCAGCCCAGCCUCAGAUGCCUCGUGACACCAGGCCUGUGCGAGCCCCACAUACCCCCAAACCCCACUACCUGUCUCGUCCCUGCCCCCAGCCCCACCUUCAUGGACAGCAGGCGGGUCAGGUAGAUCUCAGGGAUGGCCUUGGCUCGCUCCCGCUCCCCGCCCCGGAGGCUGCCCCUCCGAGGCCUGGGCGGCUCCGGCUCCUCGCUUGGCUUCACCAGGUGCCAGGGCCGGAUGCCCCCCUCGUCCACAUCCUCCAGCAUUGGGGUCCCUGUACCAAGACCUUAUAGCUUGUCACCCCUCAUCAGGUGCCCCCUGCCCUAGACCCCCAGGGUCCUGCCAAAACCUGGGAGUGGGGGCACCUGGUUAAGGGCUUCUCUGGGUGGAAGGGAAGUAGACACAAGCCCACCCUGAAGUCCAGAGGACCUUCCCCCAUUACUGGAGACUGGGCAAAGCAAGGGUAGAGGACUGCGAUGGCAGGGGUGGGGCGGGGGGGAGGGUAAGUACUCACUCUCUCCAGGGACGUAAUCCUGGCUUUCCCGGAGGACAUGCUUGGUGAGGCACGGGACGAGGGCCACAGUUGCUCCGUCUGGGACCUGUGGACCACAGUUGGUGACCCCUCCACCAGCCCACCCCACCACAGCCCUCCCCCAGCUCCCACCCCUCCCACCUUGUAAUGCUGCAGGGUGUUCAGGCGCCUCCACAGACCCUGGACCUCAGAAGUCACGUCCUCGUCAGAAAGAAUGAGAUGCCCGGCCACCCCAGACCGCCAUUCUGCAAGGACAAGGUGGGCUUGGUCCUUGUCCUUGCAGACAUACCCUCCCUGCAGUGGAACCUGUCCCCUCUUCUACAAGGACACUGGUCCCUCCAUCAGGGGCAACCUCACCCAACUUCUCUGAAGUCCAGAAACGGGGGCCCCUCAACAGGUGACAGGUCAUCCCUAUAGAGGUGUUCCAGAGCCCACCUCCCCUGGGUGAUAAGGUGACCCCGCAGAGCUGGUCUAGGGCCAGCCUAGCCCUGAGGGUCCCCAGACCACCCUUCCCCUCUGCCCUCACCGACAUCCAGGGUGCGGGGGUCUGGCCGCUGGGCAAGAGGCACUCCUUUAUAAAGCUGGUCCAACAUCUUUUCCUUGGCCUGGGAGAUGGUGUCACAGUCCAGGACCUUCACAGGCACACCCUGGGCUUCUCCCGCUCCAGGCCCCACAGCCAGUAGUGCAUUCAAGGUCUAUGCACGAUACAUGGGAGCAGUCAGGGCUCAUGCCACGUGUGGGAUGACCAAGAUGCAAGGCCAAGGCCAGGGACAACCCAUAAGGAAGCCACUGCCUCUGACCUCCAAGCACCAAACAAUCACUCCUCCUUGUCUCUUCACCCGCCUGCCUCCCCAGGGACAGCAGCUCCCUCCACUCUGUGGCCCCAGCACCUGGCACAGAGCACUAGUGUCUGCUGGGUGAAUGGCAGAAAAAAUGGGAGAGCACAAGUCCCUCUGAACUCUGAUCCUCAGGCUCCCGGCACAGACAGUUAGGCUGAGGAAACCCACAUAAGAAGUGGGGUCUCCACUAGCCAGAGGAGCAGGCCUGGCGGAGCCUGAAUGGGAUUUUCCCAAAGGACCUCCACGUGGGCCACAAAGGGGAAAGUUUCCCAGAGGGAAACAAUGGGCAGGUCUGCCAGGGUGACUCCCAGCUUGGUGGGCACAACCAUGCCCCUGGCAGGAUGCUAAGACCAUGAUCAGGCAGACACUCAGGCCCUGACACAGCAAGGACCCGGACGGGCCCCGGGCAGGGUUGGCUGCUCCCUAGACUCUGGAUGUGGCCACCCUGACCCCACCCCAAACCUGGGGAACCUCUGAGGUUCUAUCUUCAAGGUCUGGCCCUCAAGCCUCUAUCCUGCAGCCAGCUGGAGGUUAGGCUGGCUCAAACCAGAUGCAGACACCCACACAAUCAUACGUGGUCACCCUCCUCACCUUCAUGGGAGACUGACUCACCAGCAGGUUCUCUCUCUCUCUCCCCCUCCCUCCCCCUCCCUCCCCCCCUCACCAGGGGACGGUACUCCACGUCCUCUCGGAGCAGGCGGUUGUCAUUUAGGGUGUAUUUGGCUUUGCCAGUCACGCUGUCUACCGGCCCCUUGUCCACUUGAUGCUUAAUUCCACGGAAAAGCAUGUACAGAGGCUCCCCUACCGAGUCCUGGGAGAGCGGCGGGCAGUUAGGACACCCGGGGCAGGGGACAAGCAUGGGAUGGAGGUGCUGGGGGAGGGAACAGGAUGCAGGCCGCAGAAGGCUUAAGGUGGCUGAGGACAUGCUGGGCAGGGGUGCCCAAGCUGUGCUGGGGCAAGAAGCUGCGUGGUUCAGAGUCCUGACUCUCCCUGGAGGGGAGCCCCACCCACCUCUGCCUCACUCACCCUCACGAAAGUGUAGAGGCAGAUGGACAUCCAGUUGGUGAGCAGCUUCUCCACCACAGUCUCUGUCCUGGGAUGACAGGAAAGAGGGGGCAGAGUCAGCAGGUGGGGACCCAGGGCUUUCUAUUCUU
This is a non-coding RNA of Delphinapterus leucas (beluga whale), 7711 nucleotides long. The record is from RefSeq and is a predicted model, not a curated record. NCBI's taxonomy places the organism in Eukaryota, Metazoa, Chordata, Mammalia, Artiodactyla, Monodontidae.